UUUAGCCGCGAUCUAACAAAUAAGUCAGUGAUUUUGUACAGAUGGGCAGACUACUGAUGAUGAACUUACAAGAGUCAUCUCGAUAUCAGUCCCUGCGGGCAAAGCUGCCACCCCGACACAGGUUCGAACAGGCAGGGGGACGUCAGUCGGAAACGAUGCAAUAUAAGCCUCAUUCAUGGAUGCAAAGUCUUCCUCGUAUUUUGACAGGAAGAUAGUCACAGAAACGACUAUGAAAUAAAUCCGUGUCAACAUCAAGCGGCUCUAAUUUGAAGCGUACCAUCGCUUAAGUCAAGCCCAAGGAAUUGCAAACGCUCUUCUGCGUUGCGCAAAGCCUGUCGAGUGCGAUCCUUGAUCGUCCCGGGAAUGAACUGCCCUGACUUGUCUGUACCGACUGCACCCGCAAGAUAGACUGUCUUGCCAGAGACAAUCAUGUUGGAAGCGAAUUUGCUGGCUAAUAUAUGUUACUCCUAAGGGUCAACAAUGGAAACCUUGUUUGCCUUUGACAUGGUACUUCUUUCUUUAGAACAAGUGAUUAUCCGUAAGCCAGGGAUGAUAAAGGGUGGAUUUGAGGAUGAACGUGGCUUGUAUAUAUUUCCUGUUGUUUCCUGCGUUCUCAGUCGCUCGUUCCUUGGCAAGCUAUUGAUGCAACGAGGCCUUCC
Molecule: small RNA, 659 nt
Filed under: Cryptococcus neoformans H99
Lineage: Eukaryota; Fungi; Basidiomycota; Tremellomycetes; Tremellales; Cryptococcaceae
Description: Cryptococcus neoformans var. grubii H99 hypothetical RNA
Source: RNAcentral